UUAAAGAUAGGACGCUUUUAUUUGUUGUCUAAUAAUAACUAAUCAUUAUGGUGGUCUUGCUCAAUCAAUUUUCUUAGUUCUCUUGUUUGCUAAGUUGGGAGCUUUUCUCAAAAUUUUCCCAGGAUAAAAAAGAUUUCAUCAUUGUUUCAGGUAGGUGAAGAUCAGUUUGGUCAUAACUCAUAUACUAGCUGAUGAGUUAAAAAAGAAGCGUGUUAAUAAUUCAGGUAUCUGUUUUGAUCCCAAAGGCAAGGACAGCCUUGGCCUCCUGUCAACUUAAGAUCAGAUGGUGAGGGUGAGCUCAUGUUUCCAAGUGCUGAAAAUGCUCCUUACUGAAGAAGAGCUAGCCAAAUAUCUCAUACAGAAGGUAAAUAAUUUCUUUUAUGCAAAAUCGAUUUGAUCUUCAAGAACACACAAACUAACGAUGCAACUGUACUAUUAAAAUUAAGGAUCUACAACUUAGAGAUAAGCCUAACCUCCCCGUUGUCAGAAAUUUUUCUUGUUUUUACAGUUUUGAGGUCGGAGAUACUCUAGCAAUUGAACAAGAGCCAAGCAAGAAAGUCAAUAUCCAUGAUGCUUAAGAUUUUCUUUCGUUAUACAGUUGUUCCAUAAAUAUGAAAGCAGCUAAACUUGUGCUUAACUUCAUAAAGAAAGGAACUUAUUAAUUAAGAGUGUCAAUCAAAGGAAAAUAUAAUACACAUCCCAGUACAAAUCAUCUCAGAAGUGAUCAAAAGUUCCAUCAGCUGUGCCCAAGAGACAUAUGUCUUAUUAGUUGCUUGAUAAAAAAUUCACAAUUAUUUAGCAGGAAGACCAUUUUCACAAUUGGUUAUAUACCCUUAACAGCAGAAAGACCAAAAGAUUGUUCACCUAUUAAUUCUGUAAGGGACGCCUUAUUCUGCACUCGGGUGGUCCGAUGAAUAAUUCAGUCUCCACAUCUGAUUUUUCACUACUCUCUGUACAAAGAGCUUCACCUUCCUUUUCUCCACUUGAGCCUUCUCUCUGUGGAAGGCCACCAAACUAAAACAAGGCACGAGAGAAUUACUACUUGCCUUUAUUAUGAUUUUAUACUCGACUAUGAGCUAUUGAGUCGAAAGAGGACUUAAACUAAGGAAAAGAAAAAUAUACCUUCUCCCUCAGUAUUGCAUUUUCAGAAGCAAGGAUUUUCUCCUGGAUUUGUUAGACAGGAAAGCAGUACAUUAACUAGUAAAGCAGCUAUUGACGGACAGAGACAAUGACAUGCAACAAUAAAGUCAUGCCAUACAUAAGUAGUUUCGGCUUUGCAAUUUGAGUUAUCUUGAAUUGACUAUGUAAAUGAUUGCAUUAUGCAUAAAUUGUAACUCAAAUAAUUGUAUACCUUCAUGGGAAUUGCAGCUCAAAAUAAAUUAAUAACUGUGGGGUUACCUUUUCUUUUAGUUGUUCAAUUUGUUCCUUAAAAACUUGAAUCUGAAAAGAACAAGCAAAGUAAAUUAUAUGAUAAGUUUGCAAGACUUCAUAAGAACAGAUCAUUUCUUGGACUUAUAUGAAGAAACCUUUCGUGCUCGGAUGGUACUGACACUCCGCUCCAACUGUUUUUCUAUCUGUUGUAGUUCUCCAAGGGUACAGGACUGCAGACCUUCUCCUAAGAGUUUCCUGAUACAAACUCCACUUGUUUUAGAAGACUUUCAAACUUACAGGAAAGGGAGAGAAAUGACAAUGAAACAACAAUGCAACAACUUUUGGAUUGGGGUUUGUUGAACCUUUUAGAUUCUUCAAGGAGCUCUAUCUUCUUCAUCAAACUUGCUGCCUCAUGCUGCAUUAUUGU
This 1798-nucleotide long non-coding RNA is filed under the name Nicotiana benthamiana. Its description in RNAcentral is "long non-coding RNA (NBEN_LNC002953)". The record is from RNAcentral. Lineage: Eukaryota; Viridiplantae; Streptophyta; Magnoliopsida; Solanales; Solanaceae.